AUAGGAACUGAGGCUUAGUGUAUACGUCCAGGCUAGUUAAUAGUCUCCUUACUGUAAUUGAGGUGAAGUAAUUAAAUGUUCUUCUUCUCUGACCCAGGAAUAUUGAACCUUCUUCUAAGGCUCAUGACACUGGAGUAAAUAACUAACUUGAGUAUAGAAUAAAAUCCAUGCAGGAUUUUCACAAGAGGGUGACGGUAUUGAUAAGUUGGAAGAUUGGGAUUGAUAUAGACACGCUACUAUAUAUAAGAUGUUCAAAGCAAUCUUAGUCAUUGAUGAGUAUGAUUCCAUUUAAUCUACUCACAAGCCGUUGAACUCUACACAACCCCAAACUCACCAUCAUAUUGGACUAGUUCAUGACUUUGCUUUUGGCUGCCUUGGGCCUUUGCGGCAUGUGAGGAUCUUUCACUGUGGCACCCGGACUCCCUAGCUGUGGCGUGGGCCUCGGAGUUGCAGUGCCUAGCCUCUCUAGCUUGGCACAUGGGCUUAGCUGCUCCACACUGGCAUGUGGGACCUUAGUUCUCCUGCCAGGAAUUGAACCCCCAUCCCCUGCAUUGCAGGGCAGAUUCUUCACCGCUGGAUCACCAGGGAAGCCCCAGUUCAUGACUUUAAAGAGUGUUACAGUUUACGUUACCAUUCUUAUAGUGACAUAGACCUAGUGAAUAUAAUUUGUGAAAUGACAGCUCGUAACAGGAAGAAUCUGAAGAAUAAUUUUAAAGUGAGCAGUGAAUGGAAAUAACCACCGUUCCCUCAAAACCUGCUCUGCAAAACUUAAGAAAUGAUGAAUUACUCAUAACACUUGCUCAUUUGUGUUCUGACUCAUUCGCCUUUUAACAUUAUGUUAAAGGAAGUUAACAACACAGAAAGUUAACCCAAGCUUAUCAGAGUGUGCAGGACAGAAUUAUCUGUAACAAAUUUUAAAGAAGCUUAUGUUAAUUGGCUCUAUUUAAAAAUCCUUUUUUUUUCUGUUGAGGCUAGAAUUUAUUAUUACAGCAGAAUACCAAAGAAACAGGAAUAAUUAUGUUUCCUAUAACACUGUUUUUGGUGUGCUAAUUGAAAGCUCUCUGCUUUGGGUCUUUAGUGGGGGCAGGACAGGAGAGAUUCUUCAUAUAAAGUUCUAAUUCUUCUGAAAAAGGCNNNNNNNNNNNNNNNNNNNNAGAUAUUACAAUGUAAAUGAAAGAAUUUUGACCAUUUAAAUGUGCGAAUGAUCAUGUAAAAACAGUAGUCUUGAGAGAAUUUUUUUACUAAGUUGCAUGUUAAGUCAAGAGGCGUACAAUCCACCUGCAGUGGUAAAAUCUAUUUUUUAUAGUUUGCUUUGGAACUGGUAUGAGACACCAAAAAUAAACCUAUCCAGGAUUAACUAACCUUU
RNAcentral lists this long non-coding RNA (1366 nucleotides) under Capra hircus (goat). RNAcentral describes it as "lncRNA (ENSCHIG00010026884.1)". Lineage: Eukaryota; Metazoa; Chordata; Mammalia; Artiodactyla; Bovidae. The record is from RNAcentral.